AAACUAGCAUAGAGAGACUUCCUCUUUCCUGCUGCCAGAUUUUAGAUUCCCUGCUGAAACUCAUCAGCUCCUUCCACCCCAUCUCCAUCUCCAUCCCCUACUUCUGUAUCACUAUGAUAACUUAUUUUUACAUUACGAGUCUAGGCAUGCUCAGUGCCAUUAGCACCAAGCACUGCAGUCCGUACUGUGGUGCAUCUGGUAUACUGUUACCACCACCUGAGACAGAAGUCAGCUGUCAUAUGUGGCAUCUUGGUCCUGUCCCUGCUGCUGAGCAUCCUUGAAAGGAACUACUGUAGCUUCUUUUGGGGUACUCUAAUUUUGCUUGGUUUCUGGCACUUUAUUUCAUUACCAUGUGUUCUCUCUGGGUCCAGCCUGUCCCUACUGGUCAGACUCCUGUGUGGCUGCAGGUGCUGCAGCUGACCAGGCUCUUAUGUGACAACCUGCUUCUGGUCCUAGUCUUCCACUUCUGCAGCCUACCUGCUGGUGUUCAAUUGUUUCUUGGGUUGUGGGUUCAAAUUGACUACAAUUCAUUCUUUUGUCUUGAUUGCAUUGUGUUUAUCUUGACUUGCUAGCAGCUGCACCAACCCUAUUAUUUGCUUUCUUUGUUGGCUCCUUUAGGUAGUAUCAAUAUGGGAAGAUCCUCAAGCUGGUUCUCCAGAGGGCUCUGCAGGACACUGCUGAAGUAUAUGAAGGUGGAGGCAGACUUGUUCAGGAAACCCUGAAGCUGUCGGGAAGCAGACUG
RNAcentral lists this long non-coding RNA (742 nucleotides) under Homo sapiens (human). RNAcentral describes it as "non-protein coding lnc-MRGPRX2-1:1". Lineage: Eukaryota; Metazoa; Chordata; Mammalia; Primates; Hominidae. The record is from RNAcentral.